GCGCCCGUAGCUCAGUGGAUAGAGCGGCAGACUUCGGAUCUGUUGGUCGCGGGUUCAAAUCCUGCCGGGCGCGCCA
Molecule: transfer RNA, 76 nt
Filed under: Thermanaerovibrio acidaminovorans DSM 6589
Lineage: Bacteria; Thermotogati; Synergistota; Synergistia; Synergistales; Synergistaceae
Also listed under: 2 other names
Description: tRNA-Arg (TCG) (tRNA-Arg-TCG-1-1)
Rfam family: tRNA
About the family: Transfer RNA (tRNA) molecules are approximately 80 nucleotides in length.
Source: RNAcentral